AGAGUUUGAUCCUGGCUCAGGACGAACGCUGGCGGCGUGCCUAACACAUGCAAGUCAAGGGGAAAGUUUUACUUCGGUUUAACGAGUAUACUGGCGGACGGGUGAGUAACGCGUAGGCAACCUGCCCUUUUGAACGGGAUAACCCAGCGAAAGUUGGACUAAUACCGUAUACUGCAUAUAUAUCGCAUGAUUAAUAUGUGAAAGGCUGCUCUUCGGAGCAUCCACAAAAGGAUGGGCCUGCGUUCCAUUAGUUAGUUGGUGAGGUAACGGCUCACCAAGACAGCGAUGGAUAGCUGGUUUGAGAGAGUGAUCAGCCACACUGGGACUGAGAUACGGCCCAGACUCCUACGGGAGGCAGCAGUGAGGAAUAUUGCGCAAUGGAGGAAACUCUGACGCAGCAACGCCGCGUGGGGGAUGAAGUUCUAUGGAGCGUAAACCCCUGUAAGUAGGGACGAAAGGUAGAUAUUCAAAUAGGGUAUUUAUUUGACGGUACCUGCAGAGUAAGCUCCGGCUAACUCCGUGCCAGCAGCCGCGGUAAUACGGGGGGAGCAAGCGUUGUCCGGAUUUACUGGGCGUAAAGGGCGUGUAGGCGGCUUAAUAAGUCAGAUGUUAAAGCCCCCGGCUUAACCGGGGAUCGUCAUUUGAAACUGUUAGGCUUGAGUGCGAGAGAGGGUAGUGGAAUUCCCAGUGUAGCGGUGAAAUGCGUAGAUAUUGGGAAGAACACCAGUAGCGAAGGCGGCUACCUGGCUCGCAACUGACGCUAAGGCGCGAAAGCGUGGGUAGCAAACAGGAUUAGAUACCCUGGUAGUCCACGCUGUAAACGAUGAACACUAGGUGUUGGUUUGCCGCAGGCUGAUCAGUGCCGAAGUUAACGCAUUAAGUGUUCCGCCUGGGGAGUACGAUCGCAAGGUUGAAACUCAAAGGAAUUGACGG
RNAcentral lists this ribosomal RNA (933 nucleotides) under uncultured bacterium. Its description in RNAcentral is "bacterial SSU rRNA". It matches the Rfam family "Bacterial small subunit ribosomal RNA", at positions 8 to 916 of the family's 1533-position model. The record is from RNAcentral.